This 233-nucleotide long non-coding RNA is filed under the name Elaeis guineensis (African oil palm). RNAcentral's name for it is "long non-coding RNA (EGUI_LNC078140)". Lineage: Eukaryota; Viridiplantae; Streptophyta; Magnoliopsida; Arecales; Arecaceae. The record is from RNAcentral.
AGUAUUGAUCUAAUUUUCGAUGGCCAAAUCAAAACUAAACAGCAACCAAUCUCUGGUGAGGAAGGAUCAAAGGAGUGGAGGCCUUUACAUAGACCUCUAAGGGAUGAGUCAGACUUUGAUUUCAAUUAGAUUUUCGGAUGGUUUUGGAUCUCCCGAUCGGAAGAGAACUCCUUCGGGAGUUCUGUUUACUCACUCACAACCCAGCUUCCCACCAUAUUUCCUAGCUUCCCAGC